Molecule: ribosomal RNA, 271 nt
Filed under: uncultured bacterium
Lineage: Bacteria
Description: partial 16S ribosomal RNA
Rfam family: Bacterial small subunit ribosomal RNA
Source: RNAcentral
CACGUAGGGGGCAAGCGUUGUCCGGAUUUAUUGGGCGUAAAGAGCUCGUAGGUGGCUGAGUAAGUCGGAUGUUAAAUCCCCAGGCUCAACCUGGGACACCACCCGAUACUGCUCUGGCUAGAGUCCGGUAGGGGAGCGUGGAAUUCCUGGUGUAGCGGUGAAAUGCGCAGAUAUCGGGAGGAACACCAGCGGCGAAGGCGGCCACCUGGACGGAUACGUGACGCUGAGACGCGAAAGCGUGGGGAGCAACAGGAUUAAGAAACCCGGUGGU